GCAAAUGUAGCUCAUCGGGUAGAGCAUCAGACUGAUAAUCUGAGUGUAGCAGGUUCGAAUCCUGCCAUUUGACC
Molecule: transfer RNA, 74 nt
Filed under: Paracoccaceae bacterium
Lineage: Bacteria; Pseudomonadati; Pseudomonadota; Alphaproteobacteria; Rhodobacterales; Paracoccaceae
Description: Rhodobacteraceae bacterium (activated sludge metagenome) tRNA-Ile
Rfam family: tRNA
About the family: Transfer RNA (tRNA) molecules are approximately 80 nucleotides in length. Their secondary structure includes four short double-helical elements and three loops (D, anti-codon, and T loops). Further hydrogen bonds mediate the characteristic L-shaped molecular structure. tRNAs have two regions of fundamental functional importance: the anti-codon, which is responsible for specific mRNA codon recognition, and the 3' end, to which the tRNAs corresponding amino acid is attached (by aminoacyl-tRNA synthetases). tRNAs cope with the degeneracy of the genetic code in two manners: having more than one tRNA (with a specific anti-codon) for a particular amino acid; and 'wobble' base-pairing, i.e. permitting non-standard base-pairing at the 3rd anti-codon position.
Source: RNAcentral